ACAUCAGUAGUUCAGUGGUUAGAAUUUCUGCCUUCCACCUCAACGUGUGUGAUUAGCAGAAGGCCCGUGUUCGAUUCACGGCUGAUGUA
Molecule: non-coding RNA, 89 nt
Organism: Papiliotrema laurentii
Lineage: Eukaryota; Fungi; Basidiomycota; Tremellomycetes; Tremellales; Rhynchogastremaceae
Source: the annotation of a GenBank genome assembly